This 253-nucleotide ribosomal RNA is filed under the name uncultured bacterium. RNAcentral's name for it is "partial 16S ribosomal RNA". It matches the Rfam family "Bacterial small subunit ribosomal RNA", at positions 524 to 776 of the family's 1533-position model. The record is from RNAcentral. RNAcentral also lists the same sequence under 1 other name.
UACGUAGGUGGCAAGCGUUGUCCGGAUUUAUUGGGUUUAAAGGGUGCGUAGGCGGCUUUGUAAGUCAGUGGUGAAAGCCGAUCGCUUAACGAUCGAACUGCCAUUGAUACUGUAGGGCUUGAGUAUAGAUGAGGUAGGCGGAAUUGACAGUGUAGCGGUGAAAUGCAUAGAUAUUGUCAAGAACACCAAUUGCGAAGGCAGCUUACUAAGUUAUAACUGACGCUGAGGCACGAAAGUGCGGGGAUCAAACAGG